CUGACCUGGCCUGCAUUUAUAGCCUCAGGGUCUCACUCCUGCUGCCUCAAGGACGAUGAAGAAGAUGACCAUGGGUGGAAAUUCAGCAGUCUGACUCAAACUGCUGGCUGGCCCUGCAGAAGCCUGGAACUGAGCAGCUCCCAUACCUACAAGGAAUUCUACGGCAUAAAAGAAAUGAUUGAGAAAUGGCUAUGGACAGUCCAGCAGGGAGUCAACUAAACACUGCAAAAGCAAACAUCACCAGAAUUAAGCUGAAGAAUUCUAGACUUCCAACCAGCUACCUAGCAGCACUCACUCCUUAUGAAUGCAAUGUUAUAUCCAUGCUAUUGGGAAGGUAGUUAACUUUGAAAUGCUUUCUUACUCAAAGACCAAGCAUAGGCUUGGUGUAAUUCCUGUUUCUACAAAAUUUAAGAGCUUUCUAUUUCAAAUAGCAAAUGACUUGUUUUCACUCAACAUGACAUUCUUUCAAAAGAAUGCCUAUUGGUAUCUACAAAAAGCUCAAGUUGAGCUCUGUUAAUUGCAUCUACACCUGACUUCCUUGCAUGGAAAAUGCGAACUUACAAAAUGGUUUGCAAGAACUGGCAAUAUAAAAUGGAAACUAGGGUAGUUGCAUGUCAAAAUAAAAUAGCUUUUGCUGCUUUUAUAAAAACUGUGUAACCAUUAAGCUUGAUACUGUGAAGCAUUACUUUCCUGUUUAGAUUUACUUAAAUCAAGAUGAAUAAAUAUAAAAAUCUUUUUCUAGAAAAAUAAACUCUUAAUUCAAUACCUGUCAAAUGAAAAAUUGUUAGAAUUAGCAAUUAGAGAAACAGUGAAAUAAUUCUACAUGGUUACAAUGUAGAAAGGUAUAUAGCUAAGUCAAUGCAAGAAAUUCAAAAUAACAGAACAUCUGCAUUCUUUUUGCAGAUCAGCUUGCAUUUUCCCACUACAAUUGCUUUCCCAGUGAACAAUUUUAGGGGUAAAAGCUUAUCCUUCCCAUAUUAGGGAGGAAAAAUAACAAGAUCAGCAAAAUGCAGCUUCAAUCAAUAGUGAUUUAGGAGUGCAACAGUUCUUGCAAAUUUUAUGUAAUUAGCUUACCCCCAAACCAAUAUUUUCCAUUAAAGCCUUACUUUGGAAUUGUAACUUCACUCACAGAUCAGUAUUUUCUUUCCAGAACUAGAAGCAUCACAGCAUUGAUCAGAAUUCAGGAAAGACAUAAGCAAUUGCAUAUGCAGCAGUUUAAUAACCAAGAGUUACUAGGUUAUAUUUUAAUUUUGUAACUAAUUUGAAAGUUAAUAGCAUUUAAUAGCAUUCACAGGGGAAGCUGAAGUACCUGCUGUAUUUUAGAAACUUUUUAUUUUGAGUAACGCAUUAAUAACUUCGAACUUUACAAUCAAAUUAAGAGACUAGAAGGGAACAGGAUGUGUGAUUAAAUGUUCAAGAAUGCAGAAGCUAUACAUCAGGUAUCAUUACAGCAACUGCUACUGACACUGUCCUGGACCCACUGGAGAACAUCCUGUACACCUACAGCACAAAGGAAUGGUCUCUGCCAAAGAGCUUGUAAUGUAACAAGAAAGAACAGACAACUCCAAGCCAGUCUUCAAAUCAUCUUCAAAAAGGUAAAGAGAAUCUGCAAAACUACAGGCAAAAGCCUUAUCUCCAUUCUGGGGAAAAUUAUGGAGCAAGUCCUUAAGGAUGGAACACUGAGGACAGGAGUAUGAUAAGGCAGACAGCGCAGCUAAAACAAGCGGUCUGUCAAACCAACUGCCUUCUGUGAUGAAAUGGCUAAUUCUGUGGAUGUGGGGACAGCAGUAGAUGUUGUUCACCUUCAUUUUUAGCAAUCUUACAGUAUCCUUGCAGACAAAUCAAAAGACUUGGCUAGACAGGUAGACUAUGAAGUGGAUGAAACUGGCUGAAUUGUUGGUCUUGCAGCAUAAUGGUCUGAGUUAAACUUUGACUGAUGGAUUGUUUUAAGUGGUGCUUCUCAGGACUGACAGUGGGGCCAAUACUGUUUAACACCUUUCUUAACAAGGUUAAGGUGACAGAACAUGCCCUCAGAAGUCUGCAGGCAAUACUGAUUUGAGGUAGUGGUUGAAACUUGUGUGGUGGGGCUGCUGUUCAGAAGGAUCUC
This is a long non-coding RNA of Cygnus olor (mute swan), 2107 nucleotides long. RefSeq lists it as uncharacterized. Lineage: Eukaryota; Metazoa; Chordata; Aves; Anseriformes; Anatidae. The transcript has 3 exons. The record is from RefSeq and is a predicted model, not a curated record.